This 97-nucleotide transfer RNA is filed under the name Thermoproteota archaeon. RNAcentral describes it as "tRNA-Gly". It matches the Rfam family "tRNA". From Rfam's summary of the family: Transfer RNA (tRNA) molecules are approximately 80 nucleotides in length. Their secondary structure includes four short double-helical elements and three loops (D, anti-codon, and T loops). Lineage: Archaea; Thermoproteati; Thermoproteota. The record is from RNAcentral. RNAcentral also lists the same sequence under 1 other name.
GCGGUCAUCGUCUAGUUUGGUUAGGACACUGGCCUUCCAAGCCCGCAACCCGGGACUCUAGUUAAUUAGAGCGGGAAUUCAAAUCCCGGUGACCGCA